AGAGAGAGAGAGAGGAUAUAAGCGUGGUGGAAGGCUUCGGGUGGUUCAGACUGUCAUCUUUCUCACACCGGAGGCACAGAAACGCGCAGUUGGUGUAGCAAGAUGGUGUCGACGAGGCUGGUGGUGACGCUGGUGGUGGUGAUGGUGAUGAUGGCAGGCGCGGCGCACGGCGAAAAGGACUACGCGGCCCUGACGAAACUCCGGGCCCAGCUGCUGGAGGGCUAUGACCGUAAUACGCUUGCCCUAGGCGCCGGCGGCCCUAUCACGGUGAAUAUGAGCGGCCUCGUCAUCAGGAACCUCUUCAUGGACGAGAAGAAGCACCAAGUCCAUCUUCACGGCUGGAUCUCCUACAUGUGGAAUGACCCGCGCCUCACCUGGGACCCCGAGGCGCACAGCGGGAUCACCAAGCUUGCCGUCUCCCCGAAGGACGUGUGGCUGCCAGACCUCUCCGUCUACACCUCGGCGGACGCCGCUAGCACAUUCAUGGAUACGUCCGUAUCCCAGGUGAUCAUUUACCCCACCGGCGAGGUGCUCCAGGUCCCGCCCAUCGACUUCGUGUACAGCUGCGAGGCGGACCUCACCUACUGGCCGCACGACGAGCACAUCUGCAAGCUGAUCAUCGGCUCCUGGGUCAACGACGGCUACACCAUCGACUUCAUUCCCUCCGAUGGUCUGAAGCCAACGGUGGAGGACGACGAGGAGCAGCAGCGGGCCAGGAUGGAGUGGUGGGUGGCAGAGUCGUCCACCACGGAGCGCAAGUCGAAAUACUACGAUUGCUGCACAGAACCGUACGUCAGCCUGACCGCCAACCUGCUGCUGCAAAGGUGUGCGCCGGCGUUCACCUGGCUCGUCAAGAUACCCGCCGUGUGUUUCAGCCUCCUGACACUCGUGAUCUUCCUGUUGCCUCCUGACGCGGGGGAAAAAAUUACCUUCGGCGGUAUAUGUAUGCUGCUCCACCUCCUCUUCCUCGUCUUCGUCAGCGACACCGUCAGGAGCGCACCCACCCACACGCCCCUCAUUGUCCAGCUGGUGGUGGUGGAGCUGGUGUUGACGGCGGCCAGCGUGGUGGUGGCGGCGGUGGUGGUGCGGCUGUCCAGGACCCCCAACACCGCCUCGCCCCCCGCCCCCCUCACCUCCCUCGCCCGCUCCCUCGCCCGCGUGCUCCUCCUCAACGCCUACGCCAACGAGGCGUCGGGGCAGGAGUCAGGGAACAAGACGGAGGAGGUGGAGCUGGGUGACAAGGGCGGGAGUGACAAGGAGAAGCAGCGUGUGGCCGGGGCUCAGUGGCUGCUCCUCGGCGCCUUCCUCGACCGCCUGGCCCUGGUGAUGUGUCUCCUGGUCAUGCUCAUUGUACUCGGCAGGUUCUCCAUGGUGCUUUAAGGGGGUCAUCCGAGGAGGUCAUAUGAAGGGGUCAUUUGAGGUUAUGUGAGGUGUGGUUUGUGUGUGUGUGUGUGUGUGUGUGUGUGUGUUGAUUUGCUUGUUGUUGUUGUUGUUGUUUUUCGUUCUUGUUCUGUGUUGUUGUUUUUUUGUUUUGUUUUUUGUUCGCCUUCCAGUUUGUCUUCCUCAUGUUGUUCUCGUUCUUGUUUGUUUUUCUUGUAGUUUUUUUCUUCUUCUUUUUUUUCUUGUUUAUUUUUUUUCGUGUUCCCUUUCCAGUUUGUCUUCUUGUUGUUCUUGUUUUCUUGUGGUUCUUUUCUUCUUCUUUCUCUGUAUUGUCUUCGUUCUUCUGUGUCUUCUCUUUUUCUUGAUUUUUUCUUGUUUAUUUUUUUUCUUGUUCCCUUUCCAGUUCUUGUUGUUGCUGUUGUUUUUCCUGUUCUUGUUAUUUUGUCUUCUAUAACGUUUUCAUCUUCCUGUUUCCUCUUUUCGUUCUCCUUUCCUCCUCCUUUUUUUUCUUCCAUCUCCUCUUCGUUCACCUUUUCCUUCCUUCACCUCUGCUUCCUCGCCUUCCUCUUUCAUCUCCACUCCUUCAUCCUCCUUCUCUUCAUUCUCUUCUUCUUUUUUCUCUAGUUUAAUGUUCUUUCUUUCUCUAGUGUUGGUUUGACAAGGCUUCUCCUGCACUUCAAAUAAACACUCAAACAUUUCAAGGCUCACACACCCACGUUUAGUAAGGCUUUGGUGGAGGUUGUUGUGUUAGGAUUCCCAUGGGUAGUGUUAUGAGCCUGGUGAUGGUUUGACAAGGGUUCCUCUGCACUUCAAAUAAACACUCAAACAUUUCAAGGCUCACACCCACAUUUAACAAGGCUUUGGUGGAGGUUGUUGUGUUAGGAUUCCCAUGGGUAGUUUUAUGAGCCUGGUGAUGGUUUGACAAGGGUUCCUCUGCACUUCAAAUAAACACUCAAACAUUUCAAGGCUCACACACCCACAUUUAACAAGGCUUUGGUGGAGGUUGUUGUGUUAGUAUUCCCAUGGGUAGUGUUAUGAGCCUGGUGAUGGUUUGACAAGGGUUCCUCUGCACUUCAAAUAAACACUCAAACAUUUCAAGGCUCAUACACCCACAUUUAACAAGGCUUUGGUGGAGGUUGUUGUGUAAGUAUUCCCAUGGGUAGUGUUAUGAGCCUGGUGAUAGUUUGACAAGGGUUCCUCUGCACUUCAAAUAAACACUCAAACAUUUCAAGGCUCACACACUCACAUUUAACAAGGCUUUGGUGGAGGUUGUUGUGUUAGGAUUCCCAUGGGUAGUGUUAUGAGCCUGGUGAUGGUUUGACAAGGCUUCCUCUGUACCAUGAACAUCAAAAACACACCCGUGAGAGCCCGACUAAUCUUCCUUUGUGGCCUUGGGAAAUAGCUGUUGUUUGACCCGAAAGCUUCUGAUAAUACGGGGAUCACUCUCAUAUCUAAUACUACAUGUCGCUUUAGGUAUAUGUCAAAAGGAAGUGACUGACAGACAUCUUGGUUUGACAGAUAUUACAUUGGUGGACGUAGAGGUAAGAUGUUAAUGUUUGUGAGUUUGAGAUUUUUGGUGUGUGUGUGUGUGUGUGUGUGUGUGUGUGUGUGUGUGUGUAGGUCAUAUUUUGAUGUAUAAGUAAGACCUUUAAGUGACAGACAAUCGCACGGUGUCUGAGCAGCGUUGCCAAAAUGUCGUACUCUGAACACUGCAUUUAUCAUACCUAGGCUCCAAGACUGUCGUAACCACACAAAUGACGAUAGAAAAUUAAAGUUAUCGUUAAAACUUAAAUAUUGAUGGUUCUAUUUUUUUUUCUGCUCUAUAUAUCGGUCAGAAACUACGAAAAUGUAAUGCGCUGAGUACGAUAAUUUGGCAACGCUGUGUCUGAGCUUCAUUUGACAGGCAUUACUUUCCUAGACGUAUCGGUGAGAUGUUAGUGUUUGUGAGGCUCAGAUCUUGAUAUAUAUGAGCCUCUUCCAUUUAGCAUAACCUGUUUCUGGGUCGUGAUCUGUAGAGUCCCUUGAUAGAGUCCCGACAACCUAAGAUUUGGACGCCAUUAUUGGUCCUGUUUUCACCACGAGAGCGUGUGCUAGCGUUUGAAAAGCACGGCGAAAACAGGCCCAAUAAUGGCGUCCAAAUCUUAGGUAGUCGGGACUCUAUAAGGGACUCUACAGAUCACGACCCAAAAGCAGGUUACGCUAAAUGGAAGACGCUAUAUAUGUAAGCAAUAUCUUGGAAUGUAUUCGUAGGUAAGAUCUUGGUGUUAGCGUGACUUGUGUUGCACUAAGGGUCAUAUUGCUAAAUAUUUCGUUGCCCAAGUACACAUAUUUGUCAAGGCGUUUUGGGCAUUUCCGGGAGUAGUUUUAUGACCCUGGUGGUAGUUUGGCCCUUCCUCUGUACCGUGAACCUAAAGAAACACUCAAGGUAAGAUCUUGGUGUUAGCGUGACUUGUGUUGCACUAAGGGUCAUAUUGCUAAACAUUUCGUCGCCCAAGAACACAUAUUUGUCAAGGCUUUCCUAGGAGUUUUGGGCAUUUCCGGGAGUAGUUUUAUGACCCUGGUGGUAGUUUGACCCUUGGAGUAGUUUUAUGGCCCUGGUGGUAGUUUGGCCCUUCCUCUGUACCAUGAACCUGAAGAAACACCUAUUUGACAAGGCUUUCCUAGGAGUUUUGGGCAUUUCCGGGAGUAGUUUUAUGACCCUGGUGGUAGUUUGACCCUUCCUCUGUACCAUGAACCUGAAGAAACACCUAUUUGACAAGGCUUUCCUAGGAGUUUUGGGCAUUUCCGGGAGUAGUUUUAUGACCCUGGUGGUAGUUUGACCCUUCCUCUGUACCGUGAACCUAAAGAAACACCUAUUUGUCAAGGCUUUCCUAGGAGUUUUGGGCAUUUCCGGGAGUAGUUUUAUGACCCUGGUGGUAGUUUGGCCCUUCCUCUGUACCGUGAACCUAAAGAAACACCUAUUUGUCAAGGCUUUCCUAGGAUUUUUGGGCAUUUCCGGGAGUAGUUUUAUGACCCUGGUGGUAGUUUGACCCUUCCUCUGUACCGUGAACCUAAAGAAACACUCAUUUGAUCCCAAUUGAUCCUCUCUUUGACCUUUAGAAAUACUCAUGUGAGAAACGAAGGUCUUAUAAUACCUCUCUAAGUGUUUCGCUGAUCAAUAAAGAGUUCAGAGAGUCA
Eriocheir sinensis (Chinese mitten crab) is the source of this 4557-nucleotide RNA transcript. It is a transcript of the gene named acetylcholine receptor subunit alpha-type acr-16-like, with no coding region annotated. The record is from RefSeq and is a predicted model, not a curated record. NCBI's taxonomy places the organism in Eukaryota, Metazoa, Arthropoda, Malacostraca, Decapoda, Varunidae. The transcript has 11 exons.